GCGCGGGUGGCGGAAUUGGUAGACGCGCACGUUUGAGGGGCGUGUGGAGCAAUCCAUGUGGGUUCAAGUCCCACCCCGCGCA
This 82-nucleotide transfer RNA is filed under the name Candidatus Omnitrophota bacterium. RNAcentral describes it as "Candidatus Omnitrophica bacterium (sediment metagenome) tRNA-Leu". It matches the Rfam family "tRNA". Rfam says of the family: Transfer RNA (tRNA) molecules are approximately 80 nucleotides in length. Lineage: Bacteria; Pseudomonadati; Candidatus Omnitrophota. The record is from RNAcentral. RNAcentral also lists the same sequence under 1 other name.